AGCUCCAUAAAAAGCUCAAACCUGCCACUUCAGCAGGGGUUGCUCUGGGAUCAGACGGGGUGAGAAAGUUCUGUGGAGCUGUGAUUUAAAUGAGAAACACAGAUGUUCAUCCAGGAUUCCUGGCUCACAGCUCCUAAAACCCUCAUCGCUUCCUUAGUGAGCAGAACAGCAGGAGGGUCUUUCGCUAUAAGAUCUGGUGUCUUCCUUCUUGAGACAGCUGCGGAACUGUAAGGUCUAGGAACAUUAGAAAUCUUCCUGGAGAAAGAAAAUGAAGAGAUCUUAGUGUCUCACUGCACCUGACCUCUGUGGCGAGCUAGGAGUGUCUGAGCCCUCACCACGCCUUCCCCUGUGAGUACCGGACCCCUCUUCAGGAGUCAGGAAGCGGAUGCAGGGUGGUGCAGCCCCAGGACAUGGAGCCUGGGAACGCCAGGCCCACGGUCAGCCCUGCCAGGUGCCGUCGGACGCACCUCGAGGGUUUUCCACGCAUUGAAACAGGCAAGGUUAGCAUAGGGCAGGGUCCCCAGUGCUGGAACUGCCAGAGCCCAGGGAAACGAGGGUGGGGA
Molecule: long non-coding RNA, 563 nt
Filed under: Homo sapiens (human)
Lineage: Eukaryota; Metazoa; Chordata; Mammalia; Primates; Hominidae
Description: HSALNT0025910
Source: RNAcentral